CCGUAGCUCAGCCGGAUAGAGCAACGGCCUCCUAAGCCGUAGGUCGCAGGUUCAAGUCCUGCCGGG
RNAcentral lists this transfer RNA (66 nucleotides) under marine eukaryotic metagenome. It matches the Rfam family "tRNA", at positions 5 to 66 of the family's 71-position model. Rfam says of the family: Transfer RNA (tRNA) molecules are approximately 80 nucleotides in length. Their secondary structure includes four short double-helical elements and three loops (D, anti-codon, and T loops). Further hydrogen bonds mediate the characteristic L-shaped molecular structure. tRNAs have two regions of fundamental functional importance: the anti-codon, which is responsible for specific mRNA codon recognition, and the 3' end, to which the tRNAs corresponding amino acid is attached (by aminoacyl-tRNA synthetases). tRNAs cope with the degeneracy of the genetic code in two manners: having more than one tRNA (with a specific anti-codon) for a particular amino acid; and 'wobble' base-pairing, i.e. permitting non-standard base-pairing at the 3rd anti-codon position. The record is from RNAcentral.